ACAUAAAGGAAACUUAUGACCUUAAAUCACAAUUUUAAAGGAAGAAAUGUUGAAUUGUUUUCAGCUAAAUAUUCAUCUCACUAAAUUAUAAAAACUGACAAACAUCAGACUAACCCAAAGAAAAUAGAAAAAAUGACACUAUAAAUACAAUAAAAUUGACUAAAAUAAUACCAGUUGAAAUUGACCAAGAAAAGAAAAGAAGUAAGGCCUAAACAACAAGUGUUAUGGAUGAAAGGGGGACGGGUCUCACUAACAGCCCUGAAGACAGCAAUGAUAAUCAGAGGAUGUUAUGAUCCAUUCUAGGUCAAUAUAUGUCAAAGUUUAGAUUAAAAUGGACAAGCUAUAGAAAAUAAAAUAGUAAAAUGAACCAAAUAGGAAAUAGAAAAUUUCAAGAAGUCUAUGAUAUAUAUUUUUUAAUUACUGUUUUAAAGGUUACCACAAAUAAAAGUUACACCCUGAUGAUUUUAUUGGUAAAUUAUAAUAAAUAUUUAAUAAAGGAAUAGCAGUAAUCUUACAUAGACACUUCCAGAGACUAGCAUAAGGAACAAUAUAUCCCAGCUUGUUUGACGAGAUCAGCACAAACUUGAUACAAUCAUCAACCAUCUGACAAUAAUAGUAAAGUUGCAGGUCAAUCUCUUUUAUUAUUAUAAGUAUAAACGACUAAGCAAAAUAUUGACAAACUGAAUCUAUAAUAUAUAAAAACAAGAAUUCAUCAUGACCAUGUUGGGCCAAGACAACAAUGGUAAAACGUGGGAAAUGUCCUUUGAGGUUAGUAUGAAAUAAGUGUCAAAGGGUGACAUAUUCUUUUCACCCUUUUGAAUGUAUCCUUGUGUUCUCCCACACAUGCUUUUCCCCGUGGGAGACUGACUCCUAGGAAUAACAUCAAUGUGUUCUUUCCUCUUUGGCUUCAAGUUAGGUUCAGUCAAUCAGAGGCAUCUCUGGAAGACUGGAGAAAGUAAAAUGAAUGAAUACUUAUUUUCCUGGUUCUUUCCCAGGGGAUCUACAUCUUAUCUUGUCUGCACACUUCAACCAAAAGAAACAGCUGUGUCUCAGAACCCUCUCCACACAGUCUCGUGGACUUAUGUGUUCUGCUUUCACAGAGAUUUCAAAAGACUCCUCAGUAUAGUGGAGAUACAUGAGAAAGCAAGAGUGAUCAGGACAGCCACUGUUUCCCUUUGGACCAUUCCUUCUUGAGGGUAACUGAAGAUGUCAAAUGGCUCACUUCUCAUUGUGGAUCAAAGCUAGUUUUAUCAUCAUGUUGGCAUUUUAUCUUUGUUCUGGUAAGUACGUUUUGUAAUCCUGGUUAGACAUUCUGAUGUCCUAGAAAAUGCAGGCAAGAUUUGAUAUCACCUGGGAAUAAAAUUCGUUGUUCCAUUUGAUUUAAUAUACUUGAACUGGUAAAUAGAAUAAACAGAGGACAAAUGCUCUUUUAAAAUUACAUUGGUACCAGCCUGGCCAACAUGGUGAAACCCCGUCUCUACUAAAAAUAAAAAAAUUAGCCAGGCAUGGUGGUGUGCACCUGUAGUUCCAGCUACUUGGGAGGCUGAGGCAGGAGAAUCAAUUGAUCCCAGGAGGCAGAGAUUGCAGUGAGCCAAGAUCGCCACUAUGCUCCAGCCGGGGUAACAGAGCAAGACUCCAUCUCAAAAAAAAAAAAAUUACAUUGGUGAAUUCCCCUCUCUAUGUUAUAAAGGGAGAAAACUCUACAGUGAAUAUAAAUGCCCAGUGAAUUCUCUUCAAGUGCUUCAGCUAAACUCUUUCCCUAUUUUGGAGGUCAUAUUCUCCAGUAAAAUUUGUUAGGAUAAACCUUCAGAUCUGAUAUUUAUAGUUACAAAUUCUGACAUGAAAGUAUUGUAUCAAGCCAGUCCUCAUUGAUAACUUUUAAGACAUUUGGCCUGCCUUAAAACCCAUGAUUGUCUAUUACUGUCAUUGUGAUGGAAUUAUGUGGGCAUUGGAAAAAGCAGUGAAAAUAGAAGAGAGCUUGACUCUGAGUUCUAGUUAAUUUCCUUUAUAUUUGAAGUAACUGUCAUCCUUAGCCUUCAAUUUCAUCAUCUAUAAAAUGUAGAUAACAAAUAAAAUGGUAUCCUUAAGGGAAGGUGUUGUUGGUUUAAAGCAUGUAAUGUAUUUGAGACUGAGUGAGAUCCGCUGUAAGAAUCAGGACUAUUACCAGUGUUGUAAUCUGACCUUCCCAUACACAGUGAGUGCCAGAGAAGACUCAUUGUAUGGCUUGUAGCUUCCCCCCUGAAAGAGCUGCAUCCAUGUCAUCUUACAAGAGAUGUGGAUAUAUCAUUGGGGAGACUAAGUUAUUUAAUACUUUUCAUUUGUGCAGAUACUGCAUUGUCUGAGUUGCCUGCUGUGUUGGCUGAG
Molecule: long non-coding RNA, 2364 nt
Organism: Papio anubis (olive baboon)
Lineage: Eukaryota; Metazoa; Chordata; Mammalia; Primates; Cercopithecidae
Source: Ensembl